RNAcentral lists this ribosomal RNA (449 nucleotides) under uncultured bacterium. Its description in RNAcentral is "partial 16S ribosomal RNA". It matches the Rfam family "Bacterial small subunit ribosomal RNA", at positions 29 to 523 of the family's 1533-position model. The record is from RNAcentral.
AACGAACGCUGGCGGCAUGCCUAACACAUGCAAGUCGAACGAGACCUUCGGGUCUAGUGGCGCACGGGUGCGUAACGCGUGGGAACCUGCCUUUAGGUUCGGAAUAGCUCAGAGAAAUUUGAGCUAAUACCGGAUAAUGUCUUCGGACCAAAGAUUUAUCGCCUUUAGAUGGGCCCGCGUAAGAUUAGCUAGUUGGGGGGGUAAAGGCCUACCAAGGCGACGAGCUUUAGCUGGUCUGGGAGGAUGAUCAGCCACACUGGGACUGAGACACGGCCCAGACUCCUACGGGAGGCAGCAGUGGGGAAUAUUGGACAAUGGGCGAAAGCCUGAUCCAGCAAUGCCGCGUGAGUGAUGAAGGCCUUAGGGUUGGAAAGCUCUUUUACCAGGGAUGAUAAUGACAGUACCUGGAGAAUAAGCUCCGGCUAACUCCGUGCCAGCCGCCGCCGUAA